RNAcentral lists this ribosomal RNA (258 nucleotides) under uncultured bacterium. RNAcentral describes it as "partial 16S ribosomal RNA". It matches the Rfam family "Bacterial small subunit ribosomal RNA", at positions 96 to 353 of the family's 1533-position model. The record is from RNAcentral.
UGGCGGACGGGUGAGUAAUGUCUGGGAAACUGCCUGAUGGAGGGGGAGUAACUACUGGAAACGGUAGCUAAUACCGCAUAACGUCGCAAGACCAAAGAGGGGGACCUUCGGGCCUCUUGCCAUCGGAUGUGCCCAGAUGGGAUUAGCUAGUAGGUGGGGGUAACGGCUCACCUAGGCGACGAUCCCUAGCUGGUCUGAGAGGAUGACCAGCCACACUGGAACUGAGACACGGUCCAGACUCCUACGGGAGGCAGCAUG